RNAcentral lists this long non-coding RNA (3355 nucleotides) under Nicotiana benthamiana. Its description in RNAcentral is "long non-coding RNA (NBEN_LNC030607)". Lineage: Eukaryota; Viridiplantae; Streptophyta; Magnoliopsida; Solanales; Solanaceae. The record is from RNAcentral.
AAAAUCAUCAGCUCACGCACUUAAUGUACGUGUAAAUCACUUAUUUUGUCCAACUCAGCCAUAUCAAUGCCACAUAAGCUCGGUCAACGAUCAGAAGGGUCCAAAAGUUCUGUUCUGAUUAAGUUGAAGUGUCCAGAUAAAACUUUAUAGAGUGUAGGGACCGGGAUGACAAACCAGAACAAGUACAAGUGCCUCUCAGGCUAUUCGCCUUGCUUAAAUUAGGGGAAUAGGUUCAAACAACAAACAAUUUAUUACUUCCAACUUACAGCUUCCAAAAGAACAAUCCGGUUGUAUGAGGUGCAUGAAGUAGUAAAGAACCCCCCCUCUCUCUAACGUUCACCUACUAACGAUCCCCCGUCGCUCAAUCGCCGGCGAUUCACAGGCAAGUGCCCCCCCCCUUCUCGGCCCUUCUCCAUUUCUUUUCUCUCUUGAUUUUCUUUCUCUUUCCUCCUUUUUCGUUGUCCUUUCUACUGGUGCGACCGGCACCGGUAGAUUUACGACGAACACCGGCGUCGACUAUUCCCCCUCCGAGUUCUUUCCCCUUUUCUAUCUUCCUCUCUUUCCCCUCUCAUCUCUCCUUUCUUUCCCCUAUCACUUUUCCCCCUCCUUCUUUAUCCUCUCUACACCCUCCCCCCUUCUUGUGCCUCCCGUUUAACAUUGUUGCCCACUGAACAGUAUAGUAGAGGUAGCGGGACCAUCUUUUUCUUUUUUCGUCUCUUUUUUCUUUGUUCAGGUGAAUCAGAAUAGUGCUUAGGGUUCACGGAGGCGGCGAUUUCAGCAGUUGCAUCUAGCGGCAAUGGUGGUGCGUGGCGAUAACUGACGUCAGGUCAUAUUUUCAGGUUCUUUCCAUCGGGAGUUGGUACCUCUCGCUUUCUUGUCUCUUUCUUUAUGCUAGUUAAAUUGUGACUAUUUGGUUAGCAUCACUUCAAGCAUAUUAUUAGAGCACUUGCAGUUGCUUCCUGUUAUUUCCUAGUUUGGGUCUGUAUUAGUGUUUUUCGAAGUUUGUCGUAGGUAUAGUAGCUGUGGUCUGGGAUGGUAGAGUAGGGUUAUGUCCUCGAGGGGUGCCGGGGUGAGAAGGAGGGUGGGGAGGGGAGGGGGUCAGUGGAUGGUACGAGAGGCAAUAAGGGCAAGGGGAAAGAGGGAGCUUGUAGAUUGAGGAUCGGGUCAUAGAACAUAGGCACGCUGAAGGUAAGUCUAUUGAGCUGGCAAAGAUUCUCCAGAAGAGGAAUGUUAAUAUAGCUUGUGUCCAGGAGGCUAGGUGGGCAGAGUCGAAGGCGAGGAAUGCGGACGGGUAUAAGUUGUGGUACUCUAGAGUCGUGAGGGGUAAGAAUGGAGUGGGUAUCUUGGUGGAUUGAGAUCUUAGAGAGUCUAUGGUGGAGGUUAGGUGAGUGAAUGAUAGGCUAAUGUUUAUUAGGUUGGUGAUUGGUGAGUGCACCCUCAAUGUAUGUAGCGCUUACGCGCCGCAAGCGGACUUGAACGAGAAGGUUAAGAGGCAUUUUUGGGAAGGUUUGGACGAGAUUGUGGUAUUCCACCUACUAAAAGAUUAUUUAUUGGAGGGAAUUUUAAUGGCCAUAUUGGGUCAGUUGCUGGUGGUUAUGGCGAGUUGCAUGGCGGCUCUGGCCUUGGGGUUAGGAACGGAGGAGGUACUUCGCCAAGGCUUUCGAGCUGGUGAUUGCGAACUUGUCUUUUCCAAAGAGGGAGGAGCAUCUGAUUACUUUCCAAAGUUCGGCGGUGAAGACUCAGAUUGAUUACCUUCUACUCAGAUGGUGUAAUAGUGGUUUGUGUAAGGAUUGCAAGGUUAUCCCGGGAGAGAACCCUCGCGACUAAGCAUAGGCUCUUAGUGAUGGACGUCGGCAUUAUGAUGAAGAGGAAGAAGAGGUAUGCUCGUGGCUGACCGAGGAUUAGAUGGGGAGCUUUAACCAAGGAUAAAGCCCAGGAGUUGGAUGUAGUUAUAGUGUGUUGCACAUAGUGCGUUGCACAUAUAUCUAACAGAAAGAAUUUAACCGCAUGCACAUUGCACACACACAAACACUUCUAUAAUUUCAGUCAUUAAAUAAAACUUAUAGAAUUUAAAUGUUAGAUCUAAUGAUUAUAACGAAAGCUUAGAUUCUAUUUAUUGAUUGGGUAAUUAAAAAGAUAGGUGACAUUAAAAAACGUAAUCGUAGUUAUAGUGCGUCCACAUAUAGUGAGUGGAUUAAAAAUAAUGCUUUAAUUGCAAUUUCCCCUACUGAUAAAAUGUGGAACAGGCUUGGAAAUGCUAAUUGGGGAGAUACUGGUGCUUUACAGGUACUUUUUGCUACUUUCAGCUCAAUCACUCUCAGUUGAAGAGUUGGCUGGUGAACACAGGUCUCGUCUUCAAGCAGAUGGAAUGGAAAUGGUUUACAUAGUGAGAUUGCACUCAACUUGUUGACGGAAGAUUCAUACCACUUCACUUGUUGAUAGGAUCGGAAUUAGUGAGAUUGCACUCAACUGUGUGAUUGUUUUGCUUACGGAUAUGGACUUGUAGGACACUGCUCAACAAAUCAUUCUAUAUCUCUAAAUGGAAUGUAUACUUCAUCACUUUAUGAAACUCCACGGUUUAGUUGAAAUAGUCAAUGAAUCAUUAUUCUUUUCUUCACUAGCAUUGCUAUUUCUUGCUUAUAAUAAAACUCUUCCUGUUUGCUUUCUGCUAAGUAAAAUAUUUGAGCUGAAAAGCAAUGGAUGCAUUGUUGCCCAGGUGGCCAGGUUGUCAAAAUUUUAUGCUGGCAAAUCUAGAUUUGCUCCUCUUUUUUUUUGUUUUGUAGAAUUUAGAUUAGGAUACAAGUAAAAUCUCUUCAUUCCGUGAUUUCAAAAUUUUAUGUUGAAUUUGUAGGUGUAUUUACAUGUAUCUGAGGAAAAUGAUUGAGUCCCCAUAAACGGCCUAAUGUCCGCUUCGCGUACUAUAAACAUUUCCUUUCUUCAUAUGUUUAUUCAACUUAUUAUGUAUAGUUCUCAUUGUUUAUACUUUUCAGUGAUCAAUGUAGCUAGAAGCUUAGUAUACAGUCAACUUAGCUUUAAAUUAUAAUGCACUACUUUGAUGUAGUGUUACUGUUUGGUUUUUAAACAAUUGGAAUGUCCAUGUGGUGCAGGGCUGAUCAAGGUGAUAUAUAUGAUUUCAUCUUUAUUAAAUAGAACCAAUUUAAUUUUAGUUCUAAAUGACACGUUCUCUCUUCUAUCAAUGGUUAACUCCAUGUUAUAUCAUAAUGUCCAGCGACGACAAAACAACUCCCAUGUUGCCUCCAUUGGUUAUUUUCUUCUGACCUCUCAAACUCGAAAGACCAAUAUCGAUAAUAGUGGCAAUACGCAACGACAACACUCACCAGGUUGGUGAUCAAGA